Molecule: small RNA, 125 nt
Filed under: Marmota monax (woodchuck)
Lineage: Eukaryota; Metazoa; Chordata; Mammalia; Rodentia; Sciuridae
Source: RNAcentral
GCCAGACGCGGUGGCCCAUGCCUGUAAUCCCAGCAGCUCGGGAGGCUGAGACAGGAGAAUCACGAGUUCAAAGCCAGCUUCAGCAAUGGCAAGAUGCCAAGCAACUCAGUGAGAUUCUGUCUCUA